CCCAGCCACUCACCUUCCAGGAAGCGUGGAUUCCUGGAAGUGAGGGGAACAGCCGUCAUUUCGCAGGCAGUGGCAGCCGCACGUGAAUAAACCUGACUGAACUGGAGGUAGCAGAAAUGGCUGGUUCCUCGGAAGGGCCUCCUUCAGGAUGAAGAAACUAAGGAAGAAGGCCAAACAAAUUACUUCCUGAGUCUUCUGGAUCAGCAUCUGAGGAUCCAAGCCCAGCGUUUAAGGAACAACUCUUUGCGGUCACUACUGUUCAGCUGUAUAUGCUUGGAGGGGUAGAGAAAAUAGAAUGGGGAAGUUCCAUGUGAACUAUAGUAAUUCUUUUUCUUUUUCUUUUUUUCGGAGCUGGGGACC
This is a long non-coding RNA of Rattus rattus (black rat), 360 nucleotides long. RefSeq lists it as uncharacterized. The transcript has 3 exons. NCBI's taxonomy places the organism in Eukaryota, Metazoa, Chordata, Mammalia, Rodentia, Muridae. The record is from RefSeq and is a predicted model, not a curated record.